GAUGAAGAACGUAGCGAAAUGCGAUACGUAAUGUGAAUUGCAGAAUUCAGUGAAUCAUCGAAUCUUUGAACGCAUAUUGCGCUCUCUGGUAUUCCGGAGAGCAUGCUUGUUUGAGUAUCAGUAAACACCUCAACUCCCUUUUCUUUUUUGAAAUGGGAGCUGGACUUGAGUGAUCCCAACACUUUUCUCACUGGAAGUGGCGGGUCACUUGAAAUGCAGGUGCAGCUGGACUUUUCUCUGAGCUAUAAGCAUAUCUAUUUAGUCUGCCUAAAAAACAGAUUAUUACCUUUGCUGCAGCUAACAUAAAGGAGAUGAGUUCUUGUGCUGACUGAUGCAGGAUUCACAGAGACAGCUUUGCGGCUGACUUUGUAAACUCGAUCUCAAAUCAAGUAAGACUACCCGCUGAACUUAAGCAUAUCAAUAAGCGGAGGA
This 432-nucleotide unclassified non-coding RNA is filed under the name soil metagenome. Its description in RNAcentral is "partial contains 5.8S ribosomal RNA, internal transcribed spacer 2, and large subunit ribosomal RNA". The stretch from base 1 to 120 matches the Rfam family "5.8S ribosomal RNA", at positions 35 to 154 of the family's 154-position model. The record is from RNAcentral.